AUUGAACGCUGGCGGCAGGCCUAACACAUGCAAGUCGAGCGGCAGCGGGAAAGUAGCUUGCUACUUUUGCCGGCGAGCGGCGGACGGGUGAGUAAUGCCUGGGAAAUUGCCCAGUCGAGGGGGAUAACAGUUGGAAACGACUGCUAAUACCGCAUACGCCCUACGGGGGAAAGCAGGGGAUCUUCGGGCCUUGCGCGAUUGGAUAUGCCCAGGUGGGAUUAGCUAGUUGGUGAGGUAAUGGCUCACCAAGGCGACGAUCCCUAGCUAGUCUGAGAGGAUGACCAGCCACACUGGAACUGAGACACGGUCCAGACGCCUACGGGAGGCAGCAGUGGGGAAUAUUGCACAAUGGGGGAAACCCUGAUGCAGCCAUGCCGCGUGUGUGAAGAAGGCCUUCGGGUUGUAAAGCACUUUCAGCGAGGAGGAAAGGUUGAUGCCUAAUACGUAUCAACUGUGACGUUACUCGCAGAAGAAGCACCGGCUAACUCCGUGCCAGCCGCCGCAGUAA
This 508-nucleotide ribosomal RNA is filed under the name uncultured bacterium. RNAcentral describes it as "partial 16S ribosomal RNA". It matches the Rfam family "Bacterial small subunit ribosomal RNA", at positions 30 to 523 of the family's 1533-position model. The record is from RNAcentral.